GGACGAACGCUGGCGGCGUGCUUAACACAUGCAAGUCGAACGGAAAGGCCCUGCUUUUGUGGGGUGCUCGAGUGGCGAACGGGUGAGUAACACGUGAGUAACCUGCCCUUGACUUUGGGAUAACUUCAGGAAACUGGGGCUAAUACCGGAUAGGAGCUCCUUCUGCAUGGUGGGGGUUGGAAAGUUUCGGCGGUUGGGGAUGAACUCGCGGCUUAUCAGCUUGUUGGUGGGGUAGUGGCUUACCAAGGCUUUGACGGGUAGCCGGCCUGAGAGGGUGACCGGCCACAUUGGGACUGAGAUACGGCCCAGACUCCUACGGGAGGCAGCAGUGGGGAAUAUUGCACAAUGGGCGGAAGCCUGAUGCAGCAACGCCGCGUGCGGGAUGACGGCCUUCGGGUUGUAAACCGCUUUCGCCUGUGACGAAGCGUGAGUGACGGUAAUGGGUAAAGAAGCACCGGCUAACUACGUG
RNAcentral lists this ribosomal RNA (469 nucleotides) under uncultured bacterium. RNAcentral describes it as "partial 16S ribosomal RNA". It matches the Rfam family "Bacterial small subunit ribosomal RNA", at positions 27 to 507 of the family's 1533-position model. The record is from RNAcentral.